This 194-nucleotide ribosomal RNA is filed under the name uncultured Banisveld landfill bacterium BVC64. RNAcentral's name for it is "partial 16S ribosomal RNA". The record is from RNAcentral.
AUUACCGCGGCUGCUGGCACGUAGUUAGCCGGUGCUUCUUCUUCCGGUACCGUCAUCCAUACAGGGUAUUAGCCCGCACGAUUUCUUUCCGGCUGAAAGAGCUUUACAACCCGAAGGCCUUCUUCACUCACGCGGCAUGGCUGGAUCAGGGUUGCCCCCAUUGUCCAAAAUUCCCCACUGCUGCCUCCCGUAGG